UACGUAGGGGGCGAGCGUUGUCCGGAAUGAUUGGGCGUAAAGGGCGCGCAGGCGGCCAUUCAAGUCAGUAGUGGAAGUCCAUUUUUCAAGGGUGGAAGUGCUAUUGAAACUGUAUGGCUUGAGUGCGGGAGAGGUUAUCGGAAUUCCAGGUGUAGCGGUGAAAUGCGUAGAGAUCGGGAGGAACACCAGUGGCGAAGGCGGGUAACUGGACCGCAACUGACGCUGAGGCGCGAAAGUGUGGGGAGCAAACAGGAUUAGAUACCCUGGUAGU
This 271-nucleotide ribosomal RNA is filed under the name uncultured prokaryote. RNAcentral's name for it is "partial 16S ribosomal RNA". It matches the Rfam family "Bacterial small subunit ribosomal RNA", at positions 524 to 794 of the family's 1533-position model. The record is from RNAcentral.